Mastomys coucha (southern multimammate mouse) is the source of this 465-nucleotide long non-coding RNA. RefSeq lists it as uncharacterized. The transcript is spliced from 3 exons. The record is from RefSeq and is a predicted model, not a curated record. NCBI's taxonomy places the organism in Eukaryota, Metazoa, Chordata, Mammalia, Rodentia, Muridae.
UUUUCCUCUAAAAGAGAAGAAAAAUAUCUGAAAACAUCUCUUUAAAGAAAAAGCAAUGGUGUCAGGAAUAAAGAGAGAAUUGAUGGGUCCAGUUCCUCUAAACAAGGCCUUGCCUUAUUCCCUGUGGUAUAGAAUUCUCCAACAAUGUCUGCUGCUGAAAAGCAAUCUUCAAAUAAGCCAUUUCACCAUUUGGGCCCACUCUUGCAUCUUAGAGACAGCAAAGGGACUUUCUAUCAUCUAGUAAAUGUUCCAAAAGAACAACGCAUAAAAGUCAUGUUUCCCUGGGUGCACUUUUAUGGUUUUCCCUGAAUUCUGACAAGCCCCAAAUAUAUGUCUGUGAAAAUAACCAGCCACACAAUACUAAGGGGUAGGCGUAGUUUUUGAGGAGUCACAAGAUCACUCGCAGCACCCCAGCAUCUACUACUGAUCCUAUUCCUACAAACAAGGUCAAAGGAUUCCCCAAAA